AACCUGAAGGGUUACCUUCUUUUCCAUCAUGCCAUCUGGUGUGCAGCACCGCCUGGUGGCUGAGAUCAUCAAGUGAUUCUAACAGAAAGGGUUCCACCUGGUGGCCAUGACGUUCCUUCUGGCCAAGGAAGAACAUCUGAAGCUGUAUGAAACUUUGACCUGAGAGACUCCUUUCUUCAGUGCUGGUGAAGGACAUGAGCUCAGGGCCAGUGGAGCCAUGGACUAAGACAGCCUCCAUGUGGAGAAGCCAGGCUAAGGGAUGCUGGGGACACCAGCCCAGUUGCUUCUAGGCAGGCUCUGCUUGAGGAGAUCUCUGCAUUCAAGCUGACUGGAGCAUCAUUCAAUGCAGUGAUUUAGUACAAAGUGCCUAAGGUUUAAGACUCAAGGGCUCAGUGACUGUACGUCUCAUGCCCAUGACUGGAUCAGUGAA
Molecule: long non-coding RNA, 430 nt
Filed under: Mus musculus (house mouse)
Lineage: Eukaryota; Metazoa; Chordata; Mammalia; Rodentia; Muridae
Description: long non-coding RNA chr2:103547258-103547688
Source: RNAcentral